UGAGGAAUUUUCCGCAAUGGGCGAAAGCCUGACGGAGCGACGCCGUGUGGGUGAUGAAGGUUUUCGGAUCGUAAAGCCCUGUCAGCGAGAACGAUAUUGACGGUACUCGCAGAGGAAGCCACGGCUAACUAUGUGCCAGCAGCCGCGGUAAUACAUAGGUGGCGAACGUUGUCCGGAAUUAUUGGGCGUAAAGCGCAUGUAGGCGGUUUUUUAAGUCAGGUGUAAAAUCCCCGGGCUCAACCCGGGUUCGCACUUGAUACUGAAGAGCUAGAGAGAUGUAGAGGAAAGCGGAACUUCCGGUGUAGCGGUGAAAUGCGUAGAUAUCGGAAGGAACACCAGUGGCGAAGGCGGCUUUCUGGACAUUUUCUGACGCUGAGAUGCGAAAGUUAAGGGAGCAAACGGG
Molecule: ribosomal RNA, 403 nt
Filed under: uncultured bacterium
Lineage: Bacteria
Description: bacterial SSU rRNA
Rfam family: Bacterial small subunit ribosomal RNA
Source: RNAcentral